Ictidomys tridecemlineatus (thirteen-lined ground squirrel) is the source of this 1808-nucleotide non-coding RNA. The record is from RefSeq and is a predicted model, not a curated record. Lineage: Eukaryota; Metazoa; Chordata; Mammalia; Rodentia; Sciuridae.
UCCCUAGGUUCAGUCCUCAUUAUAUAUAAAAAAAAAAAAAUUGAAAUGCCUCUAUGUUUUUGCCUAACAUAUUGAUUGUGCUCUUGCUUUCCCCUCUGCAAAAAAAAAAAAAAAAAUGUCCUUCCUUUUUCCAGCCUGGCAAAUCCUUCCUAUCCUUCAUCAUCUCUGAGGGGUCACCUAUUUCAUACCUGCCAAGCACAGUAGCCACUAGGAAUGUGACAUAGACUCUGGGACAGACUCUGCAGCCUCCCAACCUUCCCUCAGGAGUGAGCAAGCCAUGUGUCAUUUUUUCCUUUAAUGCGCUCAUGAAAUGAGUAACUUGCUUGUGUUUGGGCCUCUAUUUUAACCCUCAGAACACCUUGAGAUUUUCUAGACUGUGAAAUUACUGUUGGGUGCUUUCCCACUCUGCCCCUGCUCUCUUCAGGAUUUGCCCAGGACCUGAAAACCACGGCUCAGAAGAUGACAGUAUCUUUCCCAUGAGAGGGAGGUGGAGCGGAUGACCUCUCCAUCUGGGUGACCGUGUCUUCUAAAUCUGAAAUUGGGGCACUUGGUUUGACGAAUCUAAGAUAGCAGUUGCUAUACCCCUAAGGGGCUUUGGCAACUCCCUUCUGCCAUUCUGGGGCUGCAGUUAGUCCAAACAGCAACCUUGGAUAAAAUAGGAAAAAGUGUCCAGUGUGGCCCCCGGGUGCCCAGUCUGGCUGCCAAAGGACACGUUUCCAUGCCAGCUUAGCCCUUCCCCAUGGGCCAGGACUAGAAGCAAUGGCCCAGCCUAAACAAUAGCUAGAUGCUGCCACCACUCUUCCUUCCCUCUGCCCUCCCCUCCCCUCUGGGCCACAGGGGUGGUCACACUCACAUGGCUCCCACAUCUCUUUUUUUAAUAGGUCAGUCUGUCUGCUUUCAAACAACUGCACUCUGACUCAACAACUUCCUCUUUGCAAAUUUCCUCUUGGCUCUGGGGAAACAGCACAACCACCUUUGGCCCCUUUGGGCUGGGGCAGGGGCGGCUCUCAGGGGCAGCACAGCUGUGAGGUGCGCCCCGGCCCAGGUGACAGAUGUGGCACUGGGUAACAAUGCUGGCGGGAGGCUCGGGGUUGAGAAGGUAGGUGCAAUUCUGAGUCAAGACGCUGGGCAAGAACCCAGAGGGUGCUGAGUGAGUGUGCUGGGUGAGGAAGGGGUUGGAAGCGAUGCUAAGGGAGGAGGGGAUGGCAGAUGGCAGGGACCCUCAGAAUUGCAUUAUUUACAAACUUGAUCGUGCAGCCCCAUCCCCCACUUCUGGCCCAUUGGAAGUGGGGGCUUCCACCGCCUCAUCCUCACUGCCCACCAGUGGCUCCUCUUCCCCCUUUGUGUUGGAACCUGACCCAGACUUUAGUUCCUCCAGCACCAAGGAGCCCUGGCGAGACUUCCGUCUGCUGAAGAAAGUGGUGAGCAAGGGCCGCUGGCCAGACGCCUCCGUCUCAAGGACCCUAGAGUCUUUGUUGCCCCCAGCCCCUCCCCCUGGAGUGGUUGUGGCCUCCUCAUCAGGGACCCUGGCUGGCCCAGCCCAGGCAUCCACCACUCCAUUGCGCUUUCCACCUGUGUUCAGCAUCAGGACCCCGGUUCGCCUCUUCUGUCGCCGGCGCCACAGCAGGAGCAGGGCCAGGAAGACUAUGGCCACCAGCAGGGCCACAAGCACAGGUACCUGCGACUGGAGAAGCAGAGGAUCGUCUUGUGGCAUGCGUCAUGUUCACCAGAGACUCUUUGCUCACCACCUGGACCCAGAAGCCCCCAAAGAGAAGGAGAAGCAGCGCCAUUUCCAGAGCGACAGGCAU